CUCAAAUUAUUCACCAAAUUCUCCUGUUAUUUCUUUACUUUCUUAUUUACGUAUCAACGCGUUUUUGUACACAAUACAUGAUCGGAAAGUGGAAAAUAAAGAGAACAAAUUUUUGAAUUGGUUGAAGGGCAAUUGGUCUUUGCAUUUUUAGAAGAUGUAAUCAGGAUUGGUUGUACACGAAACAACAUUCCACUGUUUACUAUCCCAAACCUAUCCAUUCCUGCAAAAACCAGAAAACAUUGUACCAAUAUCUACAUUCAUUCAGUUGAGGCACAAAUCAAUAGUUUGAACCAAAUUCUAGUGGGUAUUGGAAUUUUGGUUGAAAUGUUUUUGAAUAGAUCAAAAUUAUGUAUUGGGAAAAAAAGUCACCGCAUUUGCAUAUAGAGACUUGUCGCUCACUUGGCGCUCGAGCGAUAGGAUUAUCCGACCCAAGCUCAUAUCACGUUUUAACGUGUUUUUGAACUUCUAUUCAUUUACAACUUGAUUUUUAGAAUUUUAUAUAUAUAACUCAUGACUUGUAUUAUUCUCAUAACAUUGAUAUAUCUUGAGAGUUUUAGAUCUUAACUGAGAAUAUUGAAAUCUUAC
Molecule: long non-coding RNA, 585 nt
Filed under: Olea europaea subsp. europaea
Lineage: Eukaryota; Viridiplantae; Streptophyta; Magnoliopsida; Lamiales; Oleaceae
Source: RNAcentral